Molecule: long non-coding RNA, 410 nt
Organism: Priapulus caudatus
Lineage: Eukaryota; Metazoa; Priapulida; Priapulimorpha; Priapulimorphida; Priapulidae
Exons: 4
Source: RefSeq, a predicted model, not a curated record
UUCGAAUCAAUCUAUCGCUACUUUGGAACGUUGAAAUGAACUAAAGAAAACGUUUGAAUCGCUUCCAGCGUGCCAGAACUCAUCACAUUCACCGUACAAGUGUCUUUCACCGAGCGAUACACGCCAGACUGCAGUACGUGGUCCAAAUUCUGGAGCUGGCUCACACGCAAGUGCAAGGAUAGAUAUAGGGUGUCAUAUCGUCCUGAGGUCAGACAGAAGGAGUUGACGCGAUACAGGAAGACUCGGCGAUGUUGCAGUGGCUGGAACUCCUCUACUAACUGUACAGAACCGCUCUGCAGCCCCACGUGCAUGCACGGCACCUGCGCAGAACCCUACACGUGCGUGUGUGACGCUGGAUGGACAGGGGGCAGCUGCGAAAGUCGAUGUCGGGGGGACCCACGGAGCGGGAU